UACGAAGGGGACUAGCGUUGUUCGGAAUUACUGGGCGUAAAGCGCGCGUAGGCGGAUCGCUAAGUCAGGGGUGAAAUCCCAGGGCUCAACCCUGGAACUGCCUUUGAUACUGACGAUCUGGAGAUCGGGAGAGGUUGGUGGAAUUCCGAGUGUAGAGGUGAAAUUCGUAGAUAUUCGGAGGAACACCAGAAGCGAAGGCGGCCAACUGGCCCGAUACUGACGCUGAGGCGCGAAAGCGUAGGGAGCAAACAGG
Molecule: ribosomal RNA, 253 nt
Filed under: uncultured bacterium
Lineage: Bacteria
Description: partial 16S ribosomal RNA
Rfam family: Bacterial small subunit ribosomal RNA
Source: RNAcentral